RNAcentral lists this ribosomal RNA (300 nucleotides) under uncultured Oceanospirillales bacterium. Its description in RNAcentral is "bacterial SSU rRNA". It matches the Rfam family "Bacterial small subunit ribosomal RNA", at positions 114 to 417 of the family's 1533-position model. The record is from RNAcentral. Lineage: Bacteria; Pseudomonadati; Pseudomonadota; Gammaproteobacteria; Oceanospirillales.
CGCGUAGGAAUCUACCUUUCGGCGGGGGAUAGCCCGGAGAAAUCCGGAUUAAUACCGCAUACGCCCUACGGGGAACGAGGCCUCUCCUUGGAAGCUUUGACCGAAAGAUGAGCCUGCGUUAGAUUAGCUAGUUGGUAGGGUAAAGGCCUACCAAGGCGACGAUCUAUAGCUGGUCUGAGAGGAUGAUCAGCCACACUGGAACUGAGACACGGUCCAGACUCCUACGGGAGGCAGCAGUGGGGAAUAUUGGACAAUGGGCGCAAGCCUGAUCCAGCAAUACCGCGUGUGUGAAGAAGGGUU